GAUGAACGCUGGCGGCGUGUCUAAGGCAUGCAAGUCGAAUGGUCUGGUUUCCAGACCAUGGCAAACGGGAGAGUAACACGAUUGGUAAUUUACCCCAAAGACGAGAAUAAUCCAGAGAAAUCUGGAAUAAUACUCGAUAUUAUGCAUUGUCGCCUGAUAAUGCAUCAAAGCUCCGGCGCUUUGGGAGAAGCCUAUGGUCUAUCAGCUAGUUGGUGAGGUAAUGGCCCACCAAGGCGACGACGGAUAGCGGGUGUGAGAGCAUGACCCGUCUCACUGGGACUGAGACACUGCCCAGACUCCUACGGGAGGCAGCAGUAGGGAAUAUUGCGCAAUGGGCGAAGCCUGACGCAGCGACGCCGCGUGAGCGAAGAAGGCCUUCGGGUCGUAAAGCUCUGUCCUUGGGGAGAAGGCGAAAGCUUGACGGUACCCAAGAACGAAGCCCGGCUAACUACGUCGCCAGCAGCCGCGGUAACUCAGUACUACG
Molecule: ribosomal RNA, 484 nt
Filed under: uncultured bacterium
Lineage: Bacteria
Description: bacterial SSU rRNA
Rfam family: Bacterial small subunit ribosomal RNA
Source: RNAcentral